UACGGAGGGUGCAAGCGUUAUCCGGAUUCACUGGGUUUAAAGGGUGCGUAGGUGGGCAGGUAAGUCAGUGGUGAAAUCUCCGGUCUUAACCCGGAAACUGCCGUUGAUACUAUCUGUCUUGAAUAUAGUGGAGGUGAGCGGAAUAUGUCAUGUAGCGGUGAAAUGCUUAGAUAUGACAUAGAACACCCAUUGCGAAGGCAGCUCGCUACACUAUCAUUGACACUGAGGCACGAAAGCGUGGGGAUCAAACAGG
RNAcentral lists this ribosomal RNA (253 nucleotides) under uncultured bacterium. RNAcentral describes it as "partial 16S ribosomal RNA". It matches the Rfam family "Bacterial small subunit ribosomal RNA", at positions 524 to 776 of the family's 1533-position model. The record is from RNAcentral.